AUUGAACGCUGGCGGCAUGCUUUACACAUGCAAGUCGAACGGCAGCGGGGGCUUCGGCCUGCCGGCGAGUGGCGAACGGGUGAGUAAUGCAUCGGAACGUACCCAGUGGUGGGGGAUAGCUCGGCGAAAGCCGGAUUAAUACCGCAUACGCCCUGAGGGGGAAAGUGGGGGAUCUUCGGACCUCACGCCAUUGGAGCGGCCGAUGUCGGAUUAGCUAGUUGGUGAGGUAAAGGCUCACCAAGGCGACGAUCCGUAGCUGGUCUGAGAGGAUGAUCAGCCACACUGGGACUGAGACACGGCCCAGACUCCUACGGGAGGCAGCAGUGGGGAAUUUUGGACAAUGGGCGCAAGCCUGAUCCAGCCAUGCCGCGUGAGUGAAGAAGGCCUUCGGGUUGUAAAGCUCUUUCAGUCGGGAAGAAAAGGCGGGCUCUAACAUAGCCUGUUGCUGACGGUACCGACAGAAGAAGCACCGGCUAACUACGUGCCAGCAGCCGCGGUAAUACGUAGGGUGCAAGCGUUAAUCGGAAUUACUGGGCGUAAAGCGUGCGCAGGCGGUUUGCUAAGACAGGUGUGAAAUCCCCGGGCUUAACCUGGGAACUGCGCUUGUGACUGGCAGGCUAGAGUACGGCAGAGGGGGGUGGAAUUCCACGUGUAGCAGUGAAAUGCGUAGAGAUGUGGAGGAACACCGAUGGCGAAGGCAGCCCCCUGGGCCUGUACUGACGCUCAUGCACGAAAGCGUGGGGAGCAAACAGG
Molecule: ribosomal RNA, 753 nt
Filed under: uncultured Rhodocyclaceae bacterium
Lineage: Bacteria; Pseudomonadati; Pseudomonadota; Betaproteobacteria; Rhodocyclales; Rhodocyclaceae
Description: bacterial SSU rRNA
Rfam family: Bacterial small subunit ribosomal RNA
Source: RNAcentral